GCCUGAGUGGCUUAGUUGGUUAAGUGUCUGCCUUUUGCUCAGGUCAUGAUCUUGGGGUUUGCGGGUUCGAGCCCCGCAUCAGGCU
This 85-nucleotide transfer RNA is filed under the name Felis catus (domestic cat). It matches the Rfam family "tRNA". Rfam says of the family: Transfer RNA (tRNA) molecules are approximately 80 nucleotides in length. Their secondary structure includes four short double-helical elements and three loops (D, anti-codon, and T loops). Further hydrogen bonds mediate the characteristic L-shaped molecular structure. tRNAs have two regions of fundamental functional importance: the anti-codon, which is responsible for specific mRNA codon recognition, and the 3' end, to which the tRNAs corresponding amino acid is attached (by aminoacyl-tRNA synthetases). tRNAs cope with the degeneracy of the genetic code in two manners: having more than one tRNA (with a specific anti-codon) for a particular amino acid; and 'wobble' base-pairing, i.e. permitting non-standard base-pairing at the 3rd anti-codon position. The record is from Rfam by way of RNAcentral. Lineage: Eukaryota; Metazoa; Chordata; Mammalia; Carnivora; Felidae.